This 1224-nucleotide long non-coding RNA is filed under the name Ananas comosus (pineapple). Its description in RNAcentral is "long non-coding RNA (ACOM_LNC009506)". The record is from RNAcentral. Lineage: Eukaryota; Viridiplantae; Streptophyta; Magnoliopsida; Poales; Bromeliaceae.
AUAGAGUCCAGCUGCUAUGCUAUCGGUAGCACGGGGCCUCUCGUGCUACCAAGUUGUUUUUGAUGAUGCGGCUUCCAAAUCGACGAUCGGCUCCGUUAGACUUGAUCUACAUUAGUUAAAAUAUUUGGAAACCAAAUUUCAUAAUUUUUCGAUAUCAUUUACCUAUCGAACAAGUAGUCUAAAAUUGAACGGCUGAAAAUAAAAAUCUCAUAAAAAAUGAUGAUAAAAGAUUUAAAUUCAAGAUCAGAUAUACUGAUCUUACUCUAAAUAGUGAAAAGAAUUUUCUAUAAAAUUUUCAUCGCAUUUGGAUUGUUUUACACCGUUAAACUCACAAACACACCACAUCGGCCAUUAAAAUUGUCAAUUUUGAGAUCUUUUGAUCACUAGUCAAUUGAUGUCGAAAAAAUCUGAAAUUUAGUUUCCAAAUACUUUUAAUAGUGUAGAUCAAGUCUAACGGAGCCGAUCGUCGAUUUGGAAGCCGCAUCAUCGAAAACAACUUGGUAGCACGGGAGGCCCCGUGCUACCGAUAGUAUAGCAGCUGGACUCUAUAUAUAUAUAUAUAUAUAUAGUAGAGUUAGAAUACUUGUAAAAGUAUCACCCAAGUGAUACUUGUGUGUUUAUAGCCCUUGGAUGGAGAGAUGUGAGUUUGAGAUGAUGGUGGUAGGUAGUGGUAGGUGGAAUAGUGUUUGAUCCAAGGACUAUUAGUAAUCAAAAAGUAGAUCCAAUGGCUAAAAACACACAAGUAUCACUUGGGUGAUACUUGUAAAAGUAUUCUAGCCCUACUCAUAUAUAUACUAUAAUAUAUGUUAUAUAUAUAUAUAGUUUUACGGGUAAACUUCAAAUAUCUCCUAUAUAGUUUCGCACUUUCUCACUUUAGUAUUCUGUAAUUUGAAGUGUAUCAAAUUAGUGUCCUGUAAUUUUAUUUUUAUCUUUUCGUCAGCCCUUUUGUUAAUAUUUCGCUAAAUUAUACAAAAAAUUUUAAAUACCCUAACUAGGUUUAUCAAAUAUUCACUUUUUUAAUACCGUUUAGUUUUAACUUUGUCACUGAUUUAACAAAAAGCAUUAGUGAAAUCGAUAAUAAAACAAUAAAAAUAAAACCACACGAUAUUAAAUUGAUACACUUUAAACCAUAAGGUGCUAAAGUGAAAAAGCAUGAAACCACAAGAGUGGUAUUUGAAGUUUUUUCUAAUUUUAAUGAUCAUGAGAUACUAAAAAUAAAAAAAA